Molecule: small nuclear RNA, 104 nt
Organism: Monodelphis domestica (gray short-tailed opossum)
Lineage: Eukaryota; Metazoa; Chordata; Mammalia; Didelphimorphia; Didelphidae
Source: Ensembl
GUGCUUGCUUCAGCAACAUAUAUACUAAAAUUGGAACAACACAGAGAUAAUAUGGCUCCUGCACAAAAAUAGCAUGCAAAUUUAAUGAAGUAGCCCUUAUUUUU